GUGUGUACUGGACAGUUGCACUUCUCAUGCCUCACCGUCUGAAGGGCCUGGGCUGUGUAAUGUGACAGUAGUACUGGAAAUAGAAGCAGAGUGUCUUGUGUUUAUAUGGACUCAGUUCAUGUCCAUUAGACAGUGAAAAGAACUACAUAGUGGUGGAAAGUUUUCAACAACAUUUGUGGAAGAGUCAUUCUGUCCAGGCCUUGAAUAAUUGGCUGGAUUUUGAAAACUGGACAGAGGUAGGCAAAGGCAUGUUAGAUGGAUUGUAGAGAUUAACCAAAGGGCUGGAGAGAGUGAAGGCCAGAGCUCAUUCAAGAAAAGGCAAUUAAUCCAGGAUGACAUGAAGGUAAGAAAGUACCCAGAUGGGGAUUAUACCGUCAAAGUCUAACUGGGAGUGUUUUUGAUUCCAGAGGAAGAAGUUUGAACUUAUUUUAUAUGUCAUGGGAAAUGCCUUGGUCAAAUUUAUGUCUCCGAAGGUGAUGUUUGUGGCUUUCCAGAGGAGGGACUGAAGAGAAGAGGCUGGCAGAGGAAAAACAAGUCACAUGAAUUAAUUAGCAAGCAACGAGAGCCUCCACCGAGGCACUGCUAACAGAGAACAAGUGAAAUGAGCUGACUCAUUAAGGACAUUCUGACAUGCAAUUCCGGCUAACACCACUGCUACUCCUUACCUCAUCUCUGUCAGAUGGAAACCACAAGGCAGACGCAGGCAUAGGUCCUAUUAAGCCUGCUCUUUGGUUCAGCGUCACAGACUGGUGAGGCUGUGACUCCCACCAGACCAGCAUCUGUUUAGACAAACUUUGUUGUGGGUUAACGUGCAUGUGAGGUUAGGGAUGUUGCUGACAGAUCACUUGAAAGCCAAAGCCACAAAACUGCUGGGAAUGGUCUCAGCACGUCAGAGCUUUGGAGCACUUGCCACAUAACUCAAAAGACUCCAAACCCAGGGUAAGUUGGUCACAGAGUGGGUUAGAUUGACAGUAGGCCACCUGCCAACCCCCAAAAUAAUUCUGUGCAAUGAGGUGCCCUGUGAAACACCACCCAGUCCCCACGGCAGCAGCCCAUCCCUCUCAGCUAUUAGUAUCUCUCUAAGAGAACCAAGCCUUAACUAAAGAUGCUAAUGUGCAUAUAAGAAAAAACUGGAUGUUUUCCUUUUGUCUUGUUCUAUGUCUUGAGAGCUUGGCCUUGUGACUAGGAGAGAAUAUCCUUCCUGGUCUCCCAGCAACCAGAAGGUGCACAUACCAGAAUGCAUCUUGGUGGGCAGUCUGUGGGCUGGGGUUCCAAGAC
RNAcentral lists this long non-coding RNA (1278 nucleotides) under Mustela putorius furo (domestic ferret). RNAcentral's name for it is "lncRNA (ENSMPUG00000025918.1)". Lineage: Eukaryota; Metazoa; Chordata; Mammalia; Carnivora; Mustelidae. The record is from RNAcentral.